Physeter macrocephalus (sperm whale) is the source of this 2158-nucleotide long non-coding RNA. RefSeq lists it as uncharacterized. Lineage: Eukaryota; Metazoa; Chordata; Mammalia; Artiodactyla; Physeteridae. The transcript is spliced from 5 exons. The record is from RefSeq and is a predicted model, not a curated record.
ACAACAGUGAGAGGCCCACGUACCGCUAAAAAAAAAAAAAAAAAAAAAAAAAAAAAGCUGGAGGCGCGCCGUGGAGCCGGCGCCUCGCAGAGAAGCGGAAACGGAGUCUGAGCGGUGAAGUUAAUUGGCUCGCUCUCGAUUACAGCUCAGUUCGCAGGUGAUGGCGGUGGGAUUGGAAGCCGGCGGUCCCGUCUCCCUUUGCGUGCCCAUCUUUUUUUUUUAAGUCAGGGUUAUUGUAGUAUAACUUAACACCCUUUAAAACUUUAAUGUGCUUUGUAAUUUUUAAGAAUUUACACCCCUUUAAAGCCAACAGGUCAGAGAAUUUUGACAAAAAUAUACAAGCAUAUGACCGCCACAGUGGUCAAGAUACAGAACAUUGUCAUCACCCCAAAAUGUGCUCUGGUGCCCCUUUGCCCGCCCCUCCCCCACCGCCAUGCUGUGGUAACCACUGAUGAUUUCUGUCCUCUACAUCUGCGGUCUCCACAAUGUCAUACAAUCUGAAGUCAUCCCCACCCCCUCUGCCCACAGAAGGUGAAGAAGUUGAAGUCAGGACAAUGUGCAGACCACGCUUUGGAGCUGAUGAAGACAAGCCGUAGCAGGUACCAGCUGACUAAGAACAACUUACAGAAGAAACAUUUAACCUGAAAAGUCUUAUCCAUUUCCCUGCAGAACUUCUUGGUGUCUUCAAGAUGGUCUCCAAGGGGGAAGUAACAGACAACUUCCUGAGCUCCUGUGACCACAGCAUCCUUUCACCGCGGUUGUAAUGUUUGGAGGACAGAGUUUGGGAAACACUGAUAUCAGAAACUUGUGAAGAAAUCAACAUUUAUCUAAAGCUUCCAUUUGGAGUUGGCUGGGCCUGAUUGAAAGAGAGCCAUGAUUUGCCCCUUCGGAUUAUUUGAGGAAUGAGCAGAGUGUAUCUAAAAUGAAGCUUGUGAUGGACUUCCCUGGCCGCGCAGUGGUUAAGAAUCCACCUGCCAGUGCAGGGGACACCGGUUCGAGCCCUGGUCCGGGAAGAUCCCACAUGCUGCAGAGUAACUAAGCCUGUGCGCCACAACUACUGAAGCCUGCGCGCCUAGACCCCGUGCUCCACAACAAGAGAAGCCACCACAGUGAGAAGGCUGCGCACCACAACGAAGAGUAGCCCCCGCUCAAUGCAACUAGAGAAAGCCCGCGCGCAGCAAUGAAGACCCAACGCAGCCAAAAAUAAAAAUAAAUAAAUAAAAUUUUUAAAAAUAAAAUGAAGCUUGUUGAGGUUCAGUCAUCUUGUUGAGGUUCGGUAAGUCUCGUGAGAUGUAGUUUCCAUGGAAAAUGAAACAGAGACUUGUGCAAAAAUAAGUCUACUCUGUGCAGUUUGGGAGUGCGGCCUGACUUCAAGGCGGAAUGACUUUGCUGGCCCUCGGAUGGGGGCCCGCUUGUUGUGAACACUGCCGGUGCUGUGUUGUCAGUGACUUCAGUCCUCCUGAAGCCUGAGGGUGGCGAUAAAGAAGCUGAAAUACAUCUCCCUUCACAAUCUCCCCUUUCCUCUCCUGAAGCCACACACAGGGGCCCACCCAUCUGCGUGCUUGUGCACAUGCGCACAUUUUUCUCUAGCAUGUUUCACUGUCUUCAAUGGUGUUGCAUGAGUUCCUAUCUCCUUCAUUCUGUUGAACUACUGCAUUAUCAUCAUUUAACCACUCCCCUUUGAUGGGCGAUUAGCUUGGUCCCAAUUUUGUCAUUACAGUAGCAUUGUCAGCACUAGGCAAGUUUUUCCAUUGUUUUAAGUACUUCACAUGUGAUCCUCAUAACUACUCUGACAGGUAUAACUACCCCAUUUUUAUAGGUAAGGAAUCUGAUGUACUGAAAGGAUAAAUGAGUUGCCCAAGGUUACAAGCCAGGAAGUGGUGCAGCCACAUAUGAACUCAAGUAGUCCUGUCUCCAGAGCAACACUCUGAACCAUUAGAUUAGACAUUUUUACACUGAGGGCAUAUGAUCUUUUAAAUUGAAUAGACCUAAUUUUAUGUAAAAUCCGCUGUGCCGUUCUCAUAUUUUUCAUUUCACUGAGAACUGACAAAAACUUACCUUGGAGUGGCAGCAGGCUACAGACCAGCCCCUGGGACCACUGCUUUCAGUAUACCAAGCAAGUAUUCUUUUAACACAUCUUUGCGCACACACGUGAGCA